Molecule: transfer RNA, 84 nt
Filed under: Clostridiales bacterium
Lineage: Bacteria; Bacillati; Bacillota; Clostridia; Eubacteriales
Description: tRNA-Leu
Rfam family: tRNA
About the family: Transfer RNA (tRNA) molecules are approximately 80 nucleotides in length. Their secondary structure includes four short double-helical elements and three loops (D, anti-codon, and T loops). Further hydrogen bonds mediate the characteristic L-shaped molecular structure. tRNAs have two regions of fundamental functional importance: the anti-codon, which is responsible for specific mRNA codon recognition, and the 3' end, to which the tRNAs corresponding amino acid is attached (by aminoacyl-tRNA synthetases). tRNAs cope with the degeneracy of the genetic code in two manners: having more than one tRNA (with a specific anti-codon) for a particular amino acid; and 'wobble' base-pairing, i.e. permitting non-standard base-pairing at the 3rd anti-codon position.
Source: RNAcentral
GCGGGUAUGGCGGAAUUGGCAGACGCGCUGGAUUUAGGUUCCAGUGGUGACCCCGUGCAGGUUCAAGUCCUGUUACCCGCACCA